GUGCCAGCAGCCGCGGUAAUACGUAGGUGGCAAGCGUUGUCCGGAUUUAUUGGGCGUAAAGCGAGCGCAGGCGGUUUCUUAAGUCUGAUGUGAAAGCCCCCGGCUCAACCGGGGAGGGUCAUUGGAAACUGGGAGACUUGAGUGCAGAAGAGGAGAGUGGAAUUCCAUGUGUAGCGGUGAAAUGCGUAGAUAUAUGGAGGAACACCAGUGGCGAAGGCGGCUCUCUGGUCUGUAACUGACGCUGAGGCUCGAAAGCGUGGGGAGCGAACAGGAUUAGAUACCCUGGUAGUCCACGCCGUAAACGAUGAGUGCUAAGUGUUGGAGGGUUUCCGCCCUUCAGUGCUGCAGCAAACGCAUUAAGCACUCCGCCUGGGGAGUACGACCGCAAGGUUGAAACUCAAAGGAAUUGACGGGGGCCCGCACAAGCGGUGGAGCAUGUGGUUUAAUUCGAAGCAACGCGAAGAACCUUACCAGGUCUUGACAUCCUUUGACCACUCUAGAGAUAGAGCUUCCCCUUCGGGGGCAAAGUGACAGGUGGUGCAUGGUUGUCGUCAGCUCGUGUCGUGAGAUGUUGGGUUAAGUCCCGCAACGAGCGCAACCCUUAUUGUUAGUUGCCAUCAUUUAGUUGGGCACUCUAGCGAGACUGCCGGUGACA
Molecule: ribosomal RNA, 655 nt
Filed under: uncultured bacterium
Lineage: Bacteria
Description: bacterial SSU rRNA
Rfam family: Bacterial small subunit ribosomal RNA
Source: RNAcentral